Long non-coding RNA from Balaenoptera musculus (blue whale), 885 nucleotides. RefSeq lists it as uncharacterized. The transcript is spliced from 3 exons. The record is from RefSeq and is a predicted model, not a curated record. NCBI's taxonomy places the organism in Eukaryota, Metazoa, Chordata, Mammalia, Artiodactyla, Balaenopteridae.
CAAAGAGAUGGCUGUGCCUCUCAUCUGCCCGGCCCCUCUCCUCCCUUCCUCUGCUGGAUCCAAAGUCCUGGCCCUGGAAAUUUCAUCACCCUUGUGAUUUACCACUGAUUAGCCGUACAUCAGGGGUUCCACGUCUGUUCUGAAUUGGGGAUGUGAACUGCAGCUCUGAUGUGACCGCGUAACCCGGUGUGAGGAUGGCAGGAAUCAAAUGCACCAACGCUCUCCUCUGGGAAUUCGAUGAAAACAUCCGAGACGAACGUGAAGCGUAAUCAGAUAAAAAGAUCCAGCAUGAUGAGAGGAUCUAGAACCAAUCUAUGAAAUGAAAAAUCCCGGGGUGCCGUCAGCAAGAUGGCUGAAUAAGACGUUCCUCACAUGUAUCCUCCCACCUCAACAACAAUUUGGGGUCCAUCCACCUACAGAAAUGCUCUUGUAGGAGCUCUGGGAUCCAGGUAUGAGACUGUAAAAGCUCAAUGCAGUCCUUGACGAAGGAGAGGAUUUUGAGAAGGAAGGCUCACACCCCGGCAGCAGAUUUGCUGACCACGGUCCCAGCUAGAGACCCAGAGACAGCUCGGUACCCCCUGAGAACUCGGCUGCAGCCCCGUUUGGCUUGGUUCUGCCAUCAGCACCACAUGCCAAGGGAGGAACCAGGCCCACCCAUAGGUCGGGUGUUAGGUGUACAGACCUUGGUCCUGGCCGUGGACCCCGAAGUGGCCCGUGAACUGGCUCCAGCCCCUCUUGGCUGUGGUCCAGGAGCCCGUGGUGGUGAGUCCUCCAAACUAAGUCAGACUGUAGGUUCUGACAGGGCCCUGUAACUGGGCUCCAGAAAUAGAAAAAAAAAAAAAAAUCCUAAAAUUCAUAUAGAAGCAUGAAAGAUCCUGAAGAGCC